AAACUUAGGAUAACACAAACCAAAG
Molecule: transfer RNA, 25 nt
Filed under: Pyrilia caica (Caica parrot)
Lineage: Eukaryota; Metazoa; Chordata; Aves; Psittaciformes; Psittacidae
Description: partial tRNA-Trp
Source: RNAcentral